CCUACGUGUGGCAGCAGUCGAGAAUCAUUCACAAUGGGGGAAACCCUGAUGGUGCGACGCCGCGUGGGGGAAUGAAGGUCUUCGGAUUGUAAACCCCUGUCAUGUGGGAGCAAAUUAAAAAGAUAGUAUCACAAUAGGAAGAGACGGCUAACUCUGUGCCAGCAGCCGCGGUACUACAGAGGUCGCAAGCGUUGUUCGGAAUCACUGGGCUUAAAGCGUGCGUAGGCUGUUUCGUAAGUCGUGUGUGAAAGGCGCGGGCUCAACCCGCGGACGGCACAUGAUACUGCGAGACUAGAGUAAUGGAGGGGGAAGCGGAAUUCUCGGUGUAGCAGUGAAAUGCGUAGAUAUCGAGAGGAACACUAGUGGCGAAGGCGGGUUCCUGGACAUUAACUGACGCUGAGGCACGAAGGCCAGGGGAGCGAAAGGGAUUAGAUACCCUUGUAGUC
Molecule: ribosomal RNA, 446 nt
Filed under: uncultured bacterium
Lineage: Bacteria
Description: partial 16S ribosomal RNA
Rfam family: Bacterial small subunit ribosomal RNA
Source: RNAcentral